UUUUUGUAAUAGGGCCGGCUCUUUAGCUGCCCACUUUCCAAAGCAGUGUUUAGGUUAACAUAGACACCGUUGAAUUUUAAAUUUUUAACUAUAUACCUAGGACCUGAGUUUACUUAAUACUUAUAGGCGUUUGUGUUUUUGGGCUAGGAACUACGCUAAUGGUCUAUUGUAAACUAGUAAAAUACCCCCUGUUUGGGACUUGUAUAGGCAGUACAUCAUACACAUUCUUAUCAAUGUCUGGAUAUGUCAAUAAUAAUUAUUACUGAUUAGUGGCUAGACAUUUGGUUUACAGACAUUUUGUAAUUUCACACAAAUACAUAAUGUAUUAUAUCAUGGUUUUCAAAACUGACAUCAUAUAAUAAUAUGAUGUAAGUACCUACGAGGAACUAGGAAGUCCAGCAAAUGUAUUGACAAUUUUUGAUAAGUCUAUUUUAUUUAAGACAAUUCUACAGAACAAGUAUACAUUAUAAAUAUUGCAAUUCAAGUAAUAUAUUGCGGAACCAGUAUCCAAUUUUAAUAGCACUGAGCAUCUGGACAUAUUUAAAUUUCAAAGAACACAUAACAAGUUUGGAAAUUCAGUGUUCUGACAAUUGGGUGUGUUUCAUUUUGGGACAUUGCUGUCAGCAAAAGAGGGUUUCCAAGUUCCAGAUUAAAUAGGAUAUUAUGGACUACUCAAUUAUGUUUUCUUCAGUUCAUACAUAUAUUUUGUCAUUACCAGUUUCGGAUAGAUGAAAUUUCACAACUGAAUAAUGAUUAAUUUUAAUUUUUGAAAUGAAUUAUUAUUGCGAGGAAUGAAACAUUAAAUUAUUGUUAAGAUUGUAAGAAACAAACUAUUGUUUAUAAAUUAAGUUAAGUUGUACUUUUGUAAACGUUUACAGUCAACUUUUGACUUAGAACAAUCUUGUGUUCACUGAAAUUAGCUUAUCUUGAGUUGAUUAUAUUCAUUAACAUGCCCACAAUUGCAAAUCUUAGUGUUAACUCCACCAUUGACGGUCCUCAGUCCGUAUAAAAAGGGAGGAAGGGCGCUUAAGACGUUUUUCUUUUUUAGUUGAAGUAUUAAGAAUUAAUCGUGUUUCUCUUGGU
Long non-coding RNA from Acyrthosiphon pisum (pea aphid), 1083 nucleotides. RefSeq lists it as uncharacterized. The transcript is spliced from 4 exons. The record is from RefSeq and is a predicted model, not a curated record. Lineage: Eukaryota; Metazoa; Arthropoda; Insecta; Hemiptera; Aphididae.